UGGGGAAUAUUGCACAAUGGGCGCAAGCCUGAUGCAGCCAUGCCGCGUGAGUGGAGAAGGCCUUAGGGUCGUAAAACUCUUUCACCGGUGAAGAUAAUGACGGUAGCCGGAGAAGAAACCCCGGCUAACUCCGUGCCAGCAGCCGCGGUAAUACGGAGGGGGUUAGCGUUGUUCGGAAUUACUGGGCGUAAAGCGCACGUAGGCGGACCAGUCAGUCAGAGGUGAAAUCCCGGGGCUCAACCUCGGAACUGCCUUUGAUACUGCUGGUCUCGAGUUCGAGAGAGGUGAGUGGAAUUCCGAGUGUAGAGGUGAAAUUCGUAGAUAUUCGGAGGAACACCAGUGGCGAAGGCGGCUCACUGGCUCGAUACUGACGCUGAGGUGCGAAAGCGUGGGGAGCAAACAGGAUUAGAUACCCGCGUAGUCC
Molecule: ribosomal RNA, 424 nt
Filed under: uncultured prokaryote
Description: bacterial SSU rRNA
Rfam family: Bacterial small subunit ribosomal RNA
Source: RNAcentral